GACGAACGCUGGCGGCGUGCUUAACACAUGCAAGUCGAACGGAAAGGCCUCUUUCGGGGGGUACUCGAGUGGCGAACGGGUGAGUAACACGUGAGUAACCUGCCCUUGACUUUGGGAUAACUUCAGGAAACUGGGGCUAAUACCGGAUAGGAGCUCCUGCUGCAUGGUGGGGGUUGGAAAGUUUCGGCGGUUGGGGAUGGACUCGCGGCUUAUCAGCUUGUUGGUGGGGUAGUGGCUUACCAAGGCUUUGACGGGUAGCCGGCCUGGGAGGGUGACCGGCCACAUUGGGACUGAGGUACGGCCCAGACUCCUACGGGAAGCAGCAGGGGGGAAUAAUGCACAAUGGGUGGAAGCCUGAUGCAGCAACGCCGUGUGCGGGAUGACGGCCUUCGGGUUGGAAACCGCUUUCGCUCAUGACGAAGCUUUGUGUGACGGUAGUGGGUAAAGAAGCACCGGCUAACUACGUG
This 467-nucleotide ribosomal RNA is filed under the name uncultured bacterium. RNAcentral describes it as "partial 16S ribosomal RNA". It matches the Rfam family "Bacterial small subunit ribosomal RNA", at positions 28 to 507 of the family's 1533-position model. The record is from RNAcentral.